Molecule: ribosomal RNA, 998 nt
Filed under: uncultured Vibrio sp.
Lineage: Bacteria; Pseudomonadati; Pseudomonadota; Gammaproteobacteria; Vibrionales; Vibrionaceae
Description: bacterial SSU rRNA
Rfam family: Bacterial small subunit ribosomal RNA
Source: RNAcentral
GUGCCCCUCACCUCGGUAAUACGGAGGGUGCGAGCGUUAAUCGGAGUUACUGGGUGUAAAGCGCAUGCAGGUGGUGUGAUAAGUCAGAUGUGAAUGCCCGGGGCUCAACCUCGGAACUGCAUUCGAAACUGUCACACUAGAGUACUGUAGAGGGGGGUAGAAUUUCAGGUGUAGCGGUGAAAUGCGUAGAGAUCUGAAGGAAUACCGGUGGCGAAGGCGGCCCCCUGGACAGAUACUGACACUCAGAUGCGAAAGCGUGGGGAGCAAACAGGAUUAGAUACCCUGGUAGUCCACGCCGUAAACGAUGUCUACUUGGAGGUUGUGGCCUUGAGCCAUGGCUUUCGGAGCUAACGCGUUAAGUAGACCGCCUGGGGAGUACGGUCGCAAGAUUAAAACUCAAAUGAAUUGACGGGGGCCCGCACAAGCGGUGGAGCAUGUGGUUUAAUUCGAUGCAACGCGAAGAACCUUACCUACUCUUGACAUCCAGAGAAGCCAGCGGAGACGCAUGUGUGCCUUCGGGAGCUCUGAGACAGGUGGUGCAUGGCUGUCGUCGGCUCGUGUUGUGAAAUGUUGGGUUAAGUCCCGCAACGAGCGCAACCCUUAUCCUUGUUUGCCAGCGAGUAAUGUCGGGAACUCCAGGGAGACUGCCGGUGAUAAACCGGAGGAAGGUGGGGACGACGUCAAGUCAUCAUGGCCCUUACGAGUAGGGCUACACGAGCUACAAUGGCGCAUACAGAGGGCAGCCAACUUGCGAAAGUGGGCGAAUCCCAAAAGUGCGUCGUAGUCCGGAUUGGAGUCUGCAACUCGACUCCAUGAAGUCGGAAUCGCUAGUAAUCGUGGACCAGAAUGCCACGGUGAAUACGUUCCCGGGCCUUGUACACACCGCCCGUCACACCAUGGGAGUGGGCUGCAAAAGAAGUAGGUAGUUUAACCUUCGGGAGGACGCUUACCACUUUCUGUUUCAUGAGGGGGGGAAGUUGUUUCAAUUUUUUUUAAAA